This 90-nucleotide small RNA is filed under the name Pedobacter zeae. RNAcentral's name for it is "Flavo-1 RNA". It matches the Rfam family "Flavo-1 RNA". The record is from RNAcentral. Lineage: Bacteria; Pseudomonadati; Bacteroidota; Sphingobacteriia; Sphingobacteriales; Sphingobacteriaceae.
CCAUAAACGGGAUGGAAGCGGCAUCCUUUGGCUGUUAGCCUGAGCGUAAUACAGGGCUAGCCAAAGAUAUAGCGUACAGCACGACUAACG